GACGAACGCUGGCGGCGUGCCUAACACAUGCAAGUCGAACGCUGAAGGAGGAGCUUGCUUCUCUGGAUGAGGUGCGAACGGGUGAGAAGCGCGUAGGUAACCUUCGUGGUAGGGGGGGAUGUCUGUUAGAGACGAUAGCUAAUGCCUCAUAACAGCAGUUGUUGGAGGAGAACUGUUUGAAAGCUGCAAUUGCGCCACUACUAGAUGGACCUGCGUUGUUUUAGGUAGUUGGUGGGGUAAAGGCCCACCAAGGCGACGAUACAUAGCCGACCUGAGAGGGUGGUCGGCCACACUGGGACGGAGACACGGCCCAGACUCCUACGGGAAGCAGCCAUAGGGAAACUGUGGCAAUGGGCGGAAGUCUGACCCCACAACGCCCAGGGAGUGGAGAAGGUUUUCGGGUCGGUAAGGUCUGUUGUAAGGGAAGAAAGAGUAUGAGGGUGGAACGUUGACGCUGUGACGGUACCUACAGAAAAAGGAACGGCUAACUACGUG
This 495-nucleotide ribosomal RNA is filed under the name uncultured bacterium. RNAcentral describes it as "partial 16S ribosomal RNA". It matches the Rfam family "Bacterial small subunit ribosomal RNA", at positions 28 to 507 of the family's 1533-position model. The record is from RNAcentral.